This 108-nucleotide small nuclear RNA is filed under the name Lingula anatina. The record is from RNAcentral. Lineage: Eukaryota; Metazoa; Brachiopoda; Lingulata; Lingulida; Lingulidae.
GUCUUCAUUACGGUGGGACAUAUACUAAAAUUGGAACGAUACAGAGAAGAUUAGCAUGGCCCCUGGCGCAAGGAUGACACGCACAUUCGUGAAGCGUUCCAUAUUUUU